RNAcentral lists this ribosomal RNA (450 nucleotides) under uncultured bacterium. RNAcentral describes it as "SSU rRNA". It matches the Rfam family "Bacterial small subunit ribosomal RNA", at positions 26 to 518 of the family's 1533-position model. The record is from RNAcentral.
AGGAUGAACGCUGGCGGUAUGCUUAACACAUGCAAGUCGAACGAGAGUCUUCGGACUUUAGUGGCGGACGGGUGAGUAACGCGUGAGAAUCUGCCUUUAGGACGGGGACAACAGUUGGAAACGGCUGCUAAAACCCGAUGUGCCCUUCGGGGUGAAAUAUUUAUAGCCUGAAGAUGAGCUCGCGUCUGAUUAGCUAGUAGGUAAGGUAAUGGCUUACCUAGGCGACGAUCAGUAACUGGUCUGAGAGGAUGACCAGUCACACUGGGACUGAGACACGGCCCAGACUCCUACGGGAGGCAGCAGUGGGAAUUUUCCGCAAUGGGCGCAAGCCUGACGGAGCAAUACCGCGUGAGGGAGGAAGGCUCUUGGGUCGUAAACCUCUUUAUCAGGGAAGAACACAAUGACGGUACCUGAUGAAUCAGCAUCGGCUAACUCCGUGCCAGCAGCCGC